AAUAGAUAGUCUAUCAAAAGAAACUAGCUUUAGGACAUGGAGAAUAUGUUUCUUGUUAGGACAUAAAGGAUAGUACGUGCGGCCGUGUGAUCGAAGAAAGAAAGAGAGGAGGCCGUGUGAGACAAACCAACCUUGCCUGCCUGCAAAAUUCACUUAUCAGUUCCCACCCUCUGAUGAAGGACCAAGCAAGAAGACACUGUAAGCAUGAGAAAGAGAAAGAUGGCUUCUGAAAUAGGAUGCUGUAGUAGCAAGUUCAUGUCAUAUGUGGUGAUAAUAAUAAUAGAAUUGGUGGCUUUAAUUUGGUGGCCUCUUGGCUGGCUUAACUCUUGCUCUCAUGUCCCUGGGCCUUGUCGACCUUCAAGUCCCCAUCAAGUUUGGCCUUCCUCAAGAUCACAUCCACGCCGGUACUCUCCCUCGUAUUAGUGUUUGGAGAGAUAUUGCCACAAGCAGUUUGUACUCGUUAUGGCUUCACUGUUGGAGCAGCAAUGGCUCCUCUUGUCCGUGUUCUUCUUUUGCUGUUCUUUCCAAUAUCUUAUCCAGUUAGUAAGGAAGCUGAGGCUGCUAAAUAGGUCUUCAACUUUAUCAUGACAAUCUCAAUCUGCAAACGUUUUCUUGUGUCAAGAGGGGAUAUUGGGUGAAACUGAUGAGUAUGUCAAUAUCCACAACAGUUGAGGUGAUCGAGUUUCUCUCCUUUUACUUGCUUCCGUUGCAUCCAUAUAUGAAAUCUGCGGAGUAAAGGAAUUUCUCCCUCUGACAGGACGAAGGCUCUUUAUCUCAUUUUAGAUCGGUUUGUAAAAGAUGAAUUGGAACACCUUUGGCAUCAUCCAUUUUGUUUCGAGCAAAUUGAAGGAAUGUCUUGAUUUCUUGAUUCACUGCACUAUCCUUUAGUCACGAUGGAGUCAUCAACCAAGUAGCAAUAUCCCACAUGAAAUCCAAAGAUGACUACUCUUUACGUUUUCGGGAUGCAGGAUCAAGAUCAAUAUGCAUGCGUCUCAAAACAAGGCUCCCCAGCCAACGGCAGAGCCUCCGCCAACGACGCCACUGUCACAGGCACCGCAUCCCCAACAUCUCUGGUGUCCACAGGUCCAACACCAACCCUUUCCAUCUCGAGUGGCGCUUCCUUAACCAGCUCACCAACCACGACCACCUAGAGAUUUGUAGUUGUCUUCGUUGAUAUAUUAACAUCAGAACAGAGAUCAAUCAAGAUCCAAGGAUAUAUUUAGGGAUCAACUACCUACCUUGGAAGACAUCAGAGGUCGACCUGCUGUAAGCAACCACAAAGAUACAUUUGCACAGCUGCUCCUUGUUCCAUGAGCUUUAUUGCAUAACAGGAUUCUUGUGCUCGAGAUCAGAAAGUAAUGUAAGAAACAUCUACCAAAACAUUGUCUCUAGUUUUCAAAGAA
This is an RNA transcript of Populus euphratica (Euphrates poplar), 1403 nucleotides long. RefSeq lists it as uncharacterized. The record is from RefSeq and is a predicted model, not a curated record. Lineage: Eukaryota; Viridiplantae; Streptophyta; Magnoliopsida; Malpighiales; Salicaceae. The transcript is spliced from 3 exons.